CAUAUUUGAAAUAUGAUGGAAAUUCAUAUUUAAAUAGAAGAUAGAAAUAUUAAAAAUAGAGCAUAGUUGAUAUACAAUUCAAAAUGAUUUGCCAAAUAAAAUUUUCUCAGUUUGAGAAAUUCUUCUUUACUUUCAAAACAAGUAAUUGUAAGAAACACAGGAGAGACUUGUUCAAGGUUUCUUGAAGAAACGAAGAUACAAGUGGUAUUGUAUCGUUUAAUGACAAAAAAAAAGGGGAAGAAUGAAUAUUUGUAGCGCGACAAAGAAAGAAACAGGAAGAAAUUAUAAAAGAGGUAGAAAAUACCGUGCGAAUCUCCAUUUUCCUCUUUUCAUUAAUACGAAAAAAAUCUCUUGAUCUGUGUGCGAGAGUGGAAAAAAAGAAAAAGAAGAACGAGAAAUGGAAUAGACGAAGAGGCGAGAAAUCGAUUUGACUUUUCCGGCACAUCUGUUUUCGGAAUUUGCAUACGAAUUCUUGGCCAAAGAUUUAAAAGAAACAGGCAUUCCCCGCAAAAGAAGAAAGUGUGGAGUUCGAGCUCCCUGGCCACACGUGUCAAUUGAAUGUUUUCCAGUCUGAGAAUUACAAACAUGUGGAAGAUGGAAACUCGAAAAGAGAGUUCAAUAUGUAUAUUUAUCUAUCAUCGAUGAAAAUCAAUAGAGGAAUAUGCUCGAGGAGUUGGAGAAGAAGAAGGGAAAACUGUAUGUAUGAUUCUCUCUUUUUAUGGUAUUGAACAGAGAACAUAAAAUUUCCAUGCAAAUUCUUACUCUAGUAUUUACGAGAGGAAGACAUUGCGGCUGGAAAUAAAAA
Molecule: long non-coding RNA, 805 nt
Organism: Apis florea (little honeybee)
Lineage: Eukaryota; Metazoa; Arthropoda; Insecta; Hymenoptera; Apidae
Source: RefSeq, a predicted model, not a curated record